UGGCAUGUCCGACAGCAUUCUAGAGAGUGAACUCACCCCGCACACACGCCCUUCUGGAAUAAUAUAGCCAGGUUCUAAGCAACAGUGGUAUUGUCUGGAAAUAACUGUUGCCUUCUGCCAUCCUUGUAGACAGCCGGACUCUUUGCCGUAUCAAAGGGUUUGAAAGUUGCAGUGAGUGUCUUUGGGCACGGAGAGAAAAACACCGUUCAAAAUUCCUGUCGCUCACCAGCUUUCUUACCUGAAAACUUUAUCCCUCCGGAUUGCUUUCACUCCCUUCUGUUAGCAAGCAGGAUUUUAAAAUGUUGCAGUUCCUUGUAUUUUAUACAAAGGAAUCUUUCAGGCAAAGCUGUGUUUUACAACAUGCCCUGCAGCAGAGUAAAUUGUUUUAUUGUGGGUUUUGGGGAUGAAAUAUACUGUUAAGUUCCCUCUGUGCCUCAGCAACAGAAGAUCUGCAAUAAAACCUCUACUUCUAGCUCUGUUUGGGCUCAGCAUCCUGAGCUCUUCUGAAAAUCUUGCCUCUGCAAACUAACUCUUCUGUCACUCUAAAAAAUACAGGAAUGGAAACAGAAAGUUUUGACAAAGCCAUUUGUUCAUGUGCGGAUUUUGGCAGCAGUGUUCACAGCUACCAUUCAGCUCUAUCACAGGUAGUUGUGCCAGUAGCUUGGCUUUGAAGGUUUCAACUUUGGUAUUUUAGGAGGAUGGAAACAAACAAACAAACAAGAUGAAGGAAAAAAAAUAGGAGGAGGAAAGAUUGUAGGAGUCAGAACUGCUUUGGGUCUACCGGCUGUAUGGAAAUGGAGUACUCCAGGGCUGUUCCCAGUUUAUAAACAUGACUGUGGUAUAGUUUUCCCAAAGAUUUAAUCAGCUCUUUCAGGCAAGCACCACGUAUCUGAAAGUGUGAUCCCGCGUGCUUGAAUUCACUACAGAAGUGCGCUGCAGGAUUCCCUCUGCCUAGAUCCACACCAGCAGCGAUCCGGAUGCACUGAGACACCCUGGAUCUUCCCUUUCUCAGCCUCAGGGCUGUGUCACCGGGUCCAUGGGAACUGGAAGUAAAUGGAUUGCAACCAAUGGAUCUGCACCCAAAAGUUAAUGAAGCUGGUCACCCUGAGCUUUUUCCAUGAGGGACCGCGCGACUCACAGUGUCCCCGUGCUGCGGGGAUGGGAACCUCCGAGAGCUCCCGAACGGGAGGAUAAGUCUUUUCUCCUGAUAAAGAGCACCAGGCGCUGGAGACUGCGUUGCUGGAAAGUCCUGUUGUUUCAGAUGAGCUCUGCACCUGCACGUGUCGUGUCCCACAGCUCUGUCCUGCGUGUAAGCGUGUUCCCGGGUAAAGAGCUGAGAGGCCUCGAGGGAUCUGCAGUUUGACCACUGGCUCCUAGGUGGGGUUUCCAUAUGGGAUCCUCACCCUCGGAUUGCGGGAGAAGGACCCAGCAGCAGCCUGUGGCCUCAGACUGAUGGAGACUGCAGAGAUGCCCAGGUACCACGGGACGGGUUCCCACUUUGUGCCUUGGCUCCUAUUGCUGCUAGGAUUCGCGCGUGGUCUGAAGUGCUGCAGGGAGCAAGCCAGGGGAUCCCCGUGGAGCCACAGGAGGGAGCCCGGGAACAGCGAGGGACUGCGUGAAAUCCUCCUUUAAGGUGUUUAGUUUCAGGAGAGUCGUGGGAUCAGACCGUGACCCCCAUCACACUGGAGCAGUUUCCCGUGGGUGAAUGAAUUCUGCACUAAAUGCUGAUCCUGCAUGUAAGAAAUCUGGCGUAACAAGAGAAAAGCCCUGCAGAAGUGGGGAGCCCAAACCCACCACGCUCCGCGCAGCCUCUGUGGUGGGAGAGCAGCGGAGGCGGAUGCUCAGCCAAGGGGAACCAGCCAUGGAUUCAUCACCCUCACGCCGACGUGGACAGACUGAGCCGAACAGGGUUAUUUAACUUCUCCUCCAGCCGGCGGAGCAAGACACAGGGAGGCAAGUGAGAUCCCAGACACUGGGAGAGGUCCUGAGUGAGCCGCGGAUCCCACGAUCGGUUACAUUUCCUGGUUACCUCUGCGUGGCCACACAUUUCUGGAUGGAAUAAAGGUCAUUGCAGAACUUGCCUCUGCUGCUGUGGAGCUCCUCCAGCUAAGAGCCGGGAACAAGGUGAUGUUACAAAGCUUUAUCACCCCUUCCAGAAAAGGUGGUGACUCUGGAGUCAAACCGAUGUCUGUGCUCCCAGGGAAAUAUCCAGACAUGACCUCACCCUGGACAAGGCCCAUUCCAGGACCUCCUGCAAAACGUCGUGGUGAUGUUGCCCCUUCCAGGGUCUCUUGCCAGCUCAGAGCCAGCUCUUGAGCAACGCCCGGUGAUGAGAGAGGAGAAGAAACGCGUAUCCGUCAAUGCACAGCGCUGACGACGUCGGAAGCGUCCUCGAAAAUGUUUUCUUCCAUGGCCAGAUGUGUCCAUGCUGAGUUUGAAUUCCAGCCGUUGUAUGAUGACCGUCCACUGAACCGGACUAGGAAACCAGCGCUGCAAGAAAACACAGCACUCAGUAACUGGGACUGAAAGUUAGAAAUGGCACAGAAAAAUGACAGAGAAAGCCUUCCAGCUGAAAAUCAUACGUUUUACAUAGCUGUGCUGACAGUCUCCCUGUCCAUGCUCUGUUGGAGGAUAAAAAGAAAUUCAUCAUUAGGCAAAUCUGGUACUUCCAUAAGAAACUGCGCCAAGUGGGAUCUGUGAACUGCAGGAUUUUGUUUAACAGCUAAACUAACUCUCUACUCAUCCCAUCCCAAGCGAAUUAGGCAUCCAGUUUCCUCCUGAGUUCCUUGGGGAUUGAGCACACAGGGAAAGAUUCAUCUGGGGAAUUCCAGUGUAAUUUCUGGAGGCAAUGGCCACGCAUUGGUGUGUUGCCAUGUUAUUCUCUUUGUUCUUCUUAUUAUGUGGUUGCUUUUUCUCGUUGACUGUCCUACGGGAUAAUCCACCUGCUGAGUGCAGUGCAUGGUACCAGGGAGCAUUAAGCACUUGUCUCUCUUAUUCUCCAUGCAAAAAUGGAUUGUGUGGAAAUCUCAAUGGCCAGAGCCAGCCUGGUGCUCAAGACAUCCUAAUAAUUGCACUCCUGCCCUUCCAGCUCCUUCUUAGCUUCCUGCAGAGAGCAUUUUGUUUUCCUCCUAGGCGUUUUUGCAAAGACAGCCACCAAGCUGUUCAGCAUCGCAAAUACCUGUCUGCAGACAGGCUGCCUGUCAAAGGACUGACGGGCGGCUUGACUUUCCCUUUAAUUACUGAGCGUGACAACUGUGGCUUCGCUGUCCUCAUUUCAAUUAAGGCUUGGCAAACACCAGAGGCCUAGUGCCCCUGAAGCAUCAUGCCCCUUUCGUGUGACUGCUUUCAAGUUAAUGCAAGAGUACACGAUAAAAAGAACAAGUUGCUCAUGAGAUUGCUACUGGGUUUGGCAUAAUUGCCUGCUGCUCUGCACAGGUUUAUCACCUCCUUCCCACUCAAAAUCACAAUCACUGGCACAAGCAGAGCAUCGCAGGGAGCUCUCAUCAUCUCCAAAGCCGAAGAUCUUGGAUGCUGAGUGCUCAGGCAGGUUUCUCAGUUACAUUGAGUCCUCCCACCUUGACCCCAGAACUUUAAAAGCACCUUAAAAUGUAAAAUAUGUUAUGCUUUACCCCUCCAAAGCCUUGAUUUCUGCUCUGCUCCAAAACCAGUGCUGGGGUUUUUGAACAGCCUGUGCCUGUCUCUCAUCUGUUGUCCGUUUUCACGGUGAUGGAGGUGUUGCAAAGCUUGUGCCUAAAGGUUGCAAAAAGUUGCGGUCAGGAGCGAUUCCCCCUUGUUUACAUCAUUCUUGGGGAAAUGUAGAACUAAUUGUAUAAUGUGAGUGCUAAUCCUGCAGCUAAAGUCCAACCUGGAGUGAUUCAUCAGUGAGGAAUAUACCAGCCUUGCUUUAAUCCAGGAAAAGGAAAAAUCUACCUACAGAACUGGACCGUAUCCAACUAACAUUGGGUGUAGAUGGAGGAUUCCCCACUGCAGCAUGUGGGUAGCACAGAGACCUACCUGAAUCCUGAAGAAUGUCUGUGGGACUUUUCGUUCCCAUGUGCAACUAGUACACAAGCCCAAUUUGCAAAAAUUUUGGAGAAGUAGACAUUCCAGCUCAGAACCCCAUUUUUUCUACAGCAAACUGGAUUGUACUGGAGAAGAGGGUGUUUCCAGGAAAAACACACGCUGUGUUUCCCUGGGGAUGGAAGGGGAGGAAUUGCUACCACUUCAAACACACAUCUCAGCAGUUCUAGCUCCUGCCUCAACAAAUCCGCCUUCGCCUGCAGUUCUGUUGCGGCAAGGAAUAUACUGUCCAUCGACACAGGACAAGCCACAUGCAGACAUGGAGAAGUUCACACCGAACAAGCCAAUUGUGUCACGUUGUUGGUUUGGGUUUGGGUUCCUUCUGAAGAGACUUGCAGAUCACAUUGUCUGAGGUUAGGAGUUUCCUCCAGCCAUCUCAAGCAAGCAAGCUUGAAAAAAAGCAGGAAGAAAAAGUUAAGCCUUUGCUUGCCUGUGUUUUGAGAAGAGCAGACCUGAAAGGAUGCCAUUAGUUUUUAGGGAUUCACAGGCCUCCAGGUGAGAAAAAGUAAUAAUGAGAAAAGCAGUGACUGGCUGAUAGCAAGGAAAUACUGUGCUGUGCGAUAUUGAUCUGCAUAUACUUCGUGGGGAUAAAUGAAGGAAUGGUCCCUGUACGUGCCUACAUCUUCUCCUUUCCUCACCCGCUGGAGCAUCACAAACUCACUACCUGCAUCUCAGUCUUUUCCGAUUUCCAGUUCGUAUUUUCUGGGUUAUAGAACAGAAACCCUGAAAUCCUGACCAAAGGCAACCAAAAAGUUUACCCAGACUCAGCUUCAGCCACUGAACACAAAAGUCCAUGAUUCACUUUCUUCUAAUGCUGCUGAGUUGAAGCAGCCAAAUAAAAGCGAAGGUUUAACUUAAAAAGGAAGGAAGUUUUAUUAGGCAGAGGCGUGAAAGAUCCAGCAUGAUCCUAUACUGUUUGUACCCAAGGAACUGGGAAAUCCUCCAUCCCACGGGCUGUGUUCGGGCCACGAGCCCAGAAUAUCUUGCGCUUACCCAGAUCCACAUGUUUUCAUGAGAGAUGUCUGACAAAGUUUUCCUCCUCCCUCCUGCUAGCAACAUCAACCACAUCACAAGCAACAGCUUGCUUUUGAGUACAGCGUGGAUUGUGGAGCUGUCCGUCUGCGAGGAAUGAGGCUGAGUGUUCACAGGAGAAACUAAUUACCAGCUAAUUUCUUUACCUGCACUCAUCCACCGUCUGCUCUGCGGCAGGCUCCUUGUGUAUCGUGUGUUCCCGCCUGCCGUGGAAAAGGUUUAUCCGCUUCCUUGGUUUCCCUGUGUGGGCAGAUCGGUGUGCAGCCACGGAUCCCACCGGGGCACAGCACUGUCUACUGGGAGUAACAAUAAUAGUAAUGGUACUACUAAUAAUGUAGUCCUAAUUACAGCAAACAGCGUUUUCGUUCAAGAAUAGAAAGCAAGGUAUCAGAAAGGCGUCCAGGAGUCAGAAAGGGGAAAUAAAACCGCUUGUACUUUCUGGGAGCUAGAUGCGCAGCUCGCAAAUUGGACAUCUGAAGCCAAAAAAGGGCGGAUGAUACUUGAUAAUGAUAAAAAGGGUAAAACAAUUUAAAAAAAGGUAAAAAUGUAAUAAAUUUAUGUCCACAAAGUCAGGCCACAAAAAUGCAAUUUCUGUCCCCCAGGAAAUUCCAAGCUAUUCAACCCUCCCUGGGGACACACAUGGGACAAAAAGCUGAAAUUACAAAAGGCUUUAUUUUUUUAAGUGGGAUAUUCCAAACCAUUUCUUUCUGAGGUGGCCAGGGACUUCCCAGUUUGCCUCUGUAGGGUGUUCACCAUGGCGUAAAGCAAAGUUCCUGCUCUCACCUUGUCAGUCAAGCAGGUGAAUUUGGUGCUGAGAUUUCUUCAUCUAUCUAUUUCGUAGUCCUCUGCUUCAGCUCCAGAGCCACAGCAUCACUGGAAGCUUUCGUCUAUGCCGAUGCUGUGGCUGUUAUCACCAACUGCAGGAUCAGUGUGACCUCCAGGAUCACCACCCUGAUUCUUCUUACAAACUCCUCGGUGGCUAUAAAUGCUAAACUUUCUGCACUCACGGGGGUCCUGUGACCUCUGAGAUGUUUAAAGCUAAACUGUGAUACUUAUGUCCCUGUCUUGUGCCACCUCAGCUGCUUCCCGCAUACUGUCCACCAUCAAAGUCAUUGUCCAGGCUUACACAGGGACCAAAGGGAGCUCCUGUUCCAGCAGAGCCGCCGAGUUUCUUGCUGUCACUACUCAUUCCCUGUCCUCUUCCACCUGGGAAGUAUCCAAAGGCUGCAUAAGACUGGAGCCUACACAGCUCCCGAGCAGCAGCAAAGGCGAAAGCAAAGACCUGUUGUCCAGUGCUCGAUCUCGGAGCCUCCAUCCGUAGCUCGUUCCAGGCAAGGAGCAAAGGAGAAGGCACCUAUGCUGCAGGGAAGGGGCAGAGCAGAAGGGGGAAGAGCCCCUCCAGUGGGACACUUUGAAAAUAUCCCCCAUGUGAGUGUCAGAGCUUGGGCAUGGUUGGAGGAGAUAAACAGUUUUGAACUUGCACGGUUUGGUUUGGCGACUGGUAAUUAAUAUUUAGUUUUGACGUGAAAAACCAUUGCAGUAGCUAUCGCACACAUACGGAGAGUAAUAGAUGCAGGUAAUAGCAGGUGACAGCGCUUCACUGACAAUCUUGGCUCGGAGAAUGUUUCCUUGUUUGAUGUAGUCCACUCACUAAGGUUAAUUACCAGUUCAAAUGUUUACUUUUAAAAGUGUGGUUUUGCAGUCAACUGCUGGGGUUGUGCCAUUUCUUCCGCCUUGUACAGGAGGGACAUGCUGUGCGGGAUGGCACAGGGACACCUUGGAGAUGUAACGUGUCUCUGCUCCUGCUACCGCCUCUUCCUCCUCGUCCCGUGUUCUUCUCUUGGUGAUUUAGGGCAGAAAGCUGCAGGAGAUGAGUCACCUUUUCCAGGCUGUAAAUUAAGUUCAGGGUGAGUGGGUCAGUGCCACCGAUCUUGAAAGGGACACGUCACCUCCGAGCUGCCAGUCUGCCCUGUGGGAGGUGGAGGAAAGCGGGACCGUGCACUUAGUCUAGAUGGCCAUGCUUCUUCCUCUUUCCCUUGGCUGUAUUAAGUUUCGGCUUAGACUGGUCAUAUUGGUCAGGCAAAACACCAAAACCAAAACAUUUCAUAGGAAAAAUUACUAUAAUGGAUUUUUUUUUUUGUACUAAAAGAACUGAGCAGAAACUUUUCUCAAUUAUCAGGUUUUCUGUGAAUAUUUUUAAAUGACAGAAAAUCCAGUUCCCCAGCUUAAAACAACUAUUUGUUUAAGAUAAUUGCAGUUAGAAAGAAGAGCCAAAAGAAUCAAAAAGUGGUCAGAACAGUCCCUUUAAAUGAUUGUAACAAAGCUCUUUAGGUGACACAAGUUCACUUAAAGUUAUAGUAUGAUUUUGCCAUUUUGCCAUGAUUCAAAAUGGGAAAAUUGUUUUAAAAUUAAAAAAAAAAAAAGUGGGAAAGGAAAAUAGUAGUAGCUUAGCUUUCAUUUAUGUCUCCCUUUCAACUCAGGAAAUGUUCCCAGCUUCUUAGAGCUUGUAAUACAAGGCUUAAUGAAUGCUUUGAAAACCAUCUGAGAUUAACCUUUUCCUUUUGCUAUGGUGACAAAAUCUAAAGACGUAGCCCAUGCAGCUGCAGCCAUAGGAAAAAAGAAUAGCAGCCUUUCUUUCCCUCUUUGGUUUGCUAAAAUUAUAGCUAAGAACAUUUGGGUGUUGACUCAAGCCCUAGGAGGAAGGGUCCUGCCCUUGUUUUGGAACAGGUAGGAUCAUCUUUCUUUCUUCUCUCUAUUAUUCAGUCUACUAAAAGAUCGUGAUGCUCCCAUUUGAAUUAGCCAGUCGCCUCCUGCUUCCUUGGUUUGGAUGGGAGAAGGACUCACCCUUCGUAACAUGAGGAGCCUCUUUCAGAUUCCCAUCUGCAGUUCACCCCUGAAGCAAGAGAAACAGGCAAAACCCUGGUGCGAAUUACCCUUCUCUCCACCAUAUCCCAGGCUCAGCUUCCUCUUUGGCCUUGUUGUCUGGGGACACUAAAACCUUGACUUCACAACGUUAAUGGUCAGGAGGAAGAAGCUCCAGAAGGCCUGGGGCUUGCCCUCACCCCUUUGAGGCUGGAAACAUCAUGCAAAGCGGAUUCCUGUUUUGCCGGGCCACGGAGGGAAUGCAAGCAAGGACAGGACUCGCCAGGCGAGAAGAUCCGCAGCGGCGGUGAGAACUAACCCCGGGUCCCAAAGCUGUGGGUUUCUCCACCUUCUCUUUCCCAAGCAACCAUCUUCUUUAGCAACAACAAAACCCGACAAAAAGCAGCUUCUGCUCAGCCUCUGAAAGAAAACCAAGCCUAGUAUCUCCAGCUGUGGGACCUAGUACCUCUGGCGAGGGGACGGUCGUGUCUCCUCGUAGCCCCAAGGAAGAAUAAAGCUUCGAGCCAUAGUGGUUCCUAGACAGCUGUACUGCACACACUGCCUGGCCGUGGCCCUAAGUGACUUGUUUGAAGUUGCCCUGGAAAUCAGUGACAUUUAGGUAAUUAACUGGAGCUCCCUAAUUUCUCAGCUGGGACUCUAGGCGUUGGACUAUCCUUCUUCUCAAGUUAUAUCCACAGAUACACAGUGGUGAAUGCAUUCAGUUUGGAUCGAAGAUUUGCCAUUUGGGUGGGCUCCAUCUCACCUAAUUUUAGCCACUUUCAAGUUAGAUAAACUGUUGAAUGCCGCUUCCUCUACUCCUUAAUGAGAAGAGAGACGCUCAUGUGGCAGACUGCCCAUCUCACCUAUUUUAGUCUAACAUUCAGGUGGUCAAAGCUGAACAAGAGGGUUUCUACUCUUAACAUAGAAAUGACACCUUACACCCCUUCUCAAAGGUGCUUAUCUUCUUCCCUCUGUCAGUCUUUAAUAUUCGCUGGGUUUUAGGCUGCAAUUAGCAUUUUGCCCUGCGAGAGUGGGGAGAUUAGUGAUGCCGUGUGACCUGUGAUUCUUCAUGUGCUGGAGACAGGAAGAGAUUUACUGUGAUAAUAGUGUCUGUGAGUCCUGCGGAUGACAGGCAGGGUGAAUUCAUCUGAGUACAUGCAGUCGUCUAAUACGGUGAUGUCUCCAUUUGCGCUAAUACUUCUGCCCCGGGCUCCCUUUAGAGCCAGGAGAAACCUAAUUGAUGCAGCCAGUAGAGUCUAGAGCUUGAUACCUCUCAUGCUAAAUUAGGUGUCUGUGUUUAGCCAGAAUUAAUCUCACCAUGGCAGUGUUGGUUUCUUUCAAUGAAAUGGGCCCUCAGUGUCAAGCUCGGAUGUUGAGCUCUACACGGGAAACUUCUAAGCUGAGGCAAAGUCAAUCCCACCUCAUUAUGGCCAAGAAGUCUUAGAAUUCAUCCCUUUGCCCUUCAAGUCAUUUGGGGAAGUCUAAUUUUGUUUGCCCUAGUGGCAUUGAAGCAAAGGUUUCUGUGUCUAGAACACAUGAAUCUGGUGAAGAAGAGCCCUGAUCACAAGGCUGUUGAGCCCAUGUAGGGAGGACAAGGUCAGUGUUGGCAGUCUGUCUUCAUUUGGUCGUGUGGCACAGAAGGAUCCAACAAAUAUGUUGUUUGGAGGUCGCAGUGGUGAGUGAAGCUAUGGACUGGUACCUUUGCCAGAGAAGAAGCCUUACAAUGUUCAGGAUGAGAAUGACUGAAAAAGAGGUUUCUUGCAAGCUUUGAUAACAGUUGUUGCUUAUGUAAAGAGCAUCUUGAGCUCCAAAAUACCAUACAGGUGAUGUGAAACAAGGACGUAAAUAAACCAAUAAACACCUUUGGAUUUUCCUGGAAUUUGAGUCCCACCAUGCCCCAAAUUUUCUAAAGAGAAUCAAAAGAUGUGGUUCUUCCUUCGUCCCUGCAUGGACAUUUAGUCUGUGAGAAAGCACUUCACCCGUUGUGCAAUUUCAUUAAAUACUGUAGGUGGAAAAAUUCAGGGACAAAAUAUUUACGUUCAGUGCAGUUUAUUGAAGGCACAGUGAAAAGCUGGAAAGUUUGAGAAGUCAAUGAAAGAAGCUCUGGUUAUCUGAAUACAAGAUGUCAAACUCAGAAGCGUUAUGCACCAAUAACUUCGAGAAACUUUCCUUAGUAUUUCUGGGGCGGGGAUGAGCUCUUCUAAAAAUCAGCAUGCUUUAAACUAGCCACCCCUAACAUGCAGAAGCAAAUGAAAGUACUAUGUAUUCAUCUGUAAGCAAAUUCCACAAAAAGCCUAUGGCUGCAGUGUAAAUAGCAGGCGCUUUGAAAAUUGAAAUUGCCUUGUUUAAAAUUGGAGCUCAGACUUGCGGCUCAGGGUUUCUUCUUGGACAAGAAAAGCAGCAUGCUCUUUGCGGUGCCUUCUGGGAAAGUUAAAUCAUCACUCUCAUUUCUGAAAUGCUUUGGGAGGUGCUGCAAGAAAAAGAGGUGUCUUGUGGGAAAGAACAUCAUUAAUGAACCUGCUGGUUAUAGGAAAAGCCAGAGAGAGAGAAGGCAGUGCAACAAGCAAACCCUUCAAGCUGCAAUAAUCUAGACAGUAUAAACUUGAAGCACUAAUGCUGUGUUGAGCGCCUGUUGGAGAAGCUUGCUAGAGAUGGCUCUUUAGGUUUGGGGAUUCUGAAAACCUAACUCGGUGGGGUAUAUAUGUGAUGCUAAUGAGGGCUUCUACAUGGGAAUGGACUCUUCAUGAAUGUUACUCUUAGUGGGCAGAGAAUUUAUUCUGCAUCGUUUCAGGUGUAGGAACCACGUGUCUAAGCGCUGCACUCUGAUGUUCCUGGUUGUGCCGCCUGCGUGGCUGUUGGCCUACGGAACAACACACGGGUCUCUGACGACCCCCAAAUUCCCCACCGCUCCGUUGCUGCACCCCACAGCCUCAGGGCUGUUAGCCACGAUGACUGGAGAGCCACUCAACUGCCUGAUGACGCAGCCUUGGUUUCCAAAGCUGACCACACCACCGGCCUGGCAAGCGCCAAUUCUAGCAUUCAAGCCCCCGCUUCCCGUGCUGAUGACGGCGCGGGCUGGGUAGCCCCCGCUUCGGGAGCUAAACCCUCCACUUUUGCAGUUGGCCCCUCCGGCUUGGCAAAAGACCUCUGGGACACACGGCUUGGCCGCAGAGCUGACGACUCUCCUUGGGUUAAUCCCGGCGCUCCGGGAGCUGAAUCCUCCAGUCGGGGAGCUGUGUCGUCCGGACCGUCUCCCCAGGGAGCCGUAGCCACAUGCAGCCCCGCUUCCAGGCAGCACCCCACAGUCUUCGGGGAUAUUGUAGCCGCUGCUGACCACAGCUGCAAGACAGCCCACAAGAUUAAUUAUUUGGAGAGAAAAGCUGGAACGCUCCAUAGGCAAGUUGUUUCAUGAAUGACAGAACCGACCAAACCUGAUUUCCUCUAGGUUUGUCCAACAUACCCGAGCCCCUGAGCUCCCACCUCCUCCCCCGUGUCCCAGCACAUCCCCUCACAGAACCUCCCAGUUCCCACAUUGCUCAUCUCUCCGGCAACAUUUGCUCUCUCUGAUCCAACGCACAUGUGUGCAUUGCCUGAUGAGCUAGCGGUUGCCCCCAAAAGUAGACAAGAGCGUGAAUUUAAACUUCCCCCUCCACCCAAAUGCCAAUUUUCUUGAAAUUUGGAGGUACUUGAGAUUCUGGGGACAAAAACUUCACUGUCAAACUGGGUUGAAAUGGAAAAGGGAAUCGAUAGCAGAGGGAGCCAGGACAGACAGAUAAUGCUGUUUCAUAAACUGCCUUUCCUAAAAUGAGCCUGGAGACACUCAUAACUGGAGUAACUGUAAAUCUUCAGAUUACUUACACACGCUCACCGGGGUCCCCGCACAUAUCCUGUUAGAGGAGAGAAGAGAAAGGCGCGUUAUCCUAUUAACUGGUUGUACAUCUGGAAACUUGAAAUUACUCAUAACUGCCAGCCACAUAUCCAGCCCUCUUGUCUCUUAAUCCCUUGCUGCAACAUGUCUCACUAUCCCUAGGACAGGAACUGGUUUUGCUGGCACAGCGGUUGGACUGCAUGGCCUCCAGCCAUCUCUCCAGACCCGGUUUCUAUGAGUCUGGGAGUAUCCUGGAGCUGCUAAGUUCACUUGGGUGCUGGAAUGACUCGGACCUGUAACUCUGACAUCCAGGGGAAAAGGAACAAGCUCUCUGUCACCCACCUGCUCUCUUCGCCCUCCAGUAAAGUCUUAUAUGUUGCAAUCUCAAUAUCCAGGGCCAGCUUGACAUUCAGCAGCUCCUGGUAAUCCCGCAGCAUGCAAGCCAGCUCAUCCUUGGCCUUCUGGAGGGCGUUCUGCAGCUCAAUGUGUUUCUCCCGGGCGUCUUUCAGGGCACAGUCCCCACGCUGCUCAACAUCGCAGAUGGAGGUUUGCAGACAGGUGACCUGUCAGAGGAGAGGAUAAAAGUGCGGGUGUCUUCAGUGCCUUAUUCCCUGAUUCAUGGGAAUUCAUUCUGCCCUUGGAUUAAUCAUUUUUUUCAGCUGCAAACUGAGAAAAAGCCCUAACUCCUCUGGAGCGAUUUCUGGAUUUGGGACUUAGCCUAGAGUAGGUCUUUAGUCUACUAAGGGCAGAUGUGUUAUCCUCACCCAUAUUUCAGCUGUCCUGCAAGACGUAGCCCCUUCUGCAAGCAGCAUCUCUGGGUCUCACCUACCUGCUUCUUCACAUUCUCAAGUUCACACUGCAACUUCUGUAUCAUCCUGGUAAGUUCUGAAAUCUCACACUUGUUGCUUUGCAGAUCAUUGCAAUACUUGCCCCUUUUAUCCUGAAGCUGCUGAAACUGGAAUCGAGAAACAAGACAAUCAUCAGUUCAACCCUGCAGCCCAUUAAGUAGUCUGGCUGAGACCCAGGUCCUUCCUUACCUUGGUUUGGUAGAAAGCAUCAACUUCUUCUUUGCUCUUCUGAGCUAUUUCUUGGUACCAGUAUUCGACAUUCUUAAUGAUGCUUUCCAUGUCCAGGUCUCGGUUGUUGUCCAUUUUCACGAUGACCGAAGUGUCGCAUAGCUGGCGAUCCACCUGCGCUCGUUCCUACAUGUUGGGGAAUGGCUUAGUCAGCUGUUAGCAAUUCUCAGACUUUGUAGUGAAGGAAGGGCUGGAACAAAGAGCCACACUGCUCAGCUGAUGGAUAGAACAAGUCAAGAAAUGUCCCUCAGGUUGGCUUAGCAGAAAAUCCUCCCUGCUGGAUGAGUUACCACAUGUCAGCUGCUGACCUACAGCAGUUCUGUCCACAUCAAGGGCAAGGAAUUUGAGUGACUUAGUCCUGUCAUUAACAUCAGUCAAACGGCUGAAGAUGACAGGAUGCUAAAGGUUAAGUUGGGAGUUUCUUUAGCUCUGAUCGGACAACUGCAAUCCAGAGUAACUAGACAGACUCAUCUCAUCCUCCAGAGGUAGAGUUAGGACACAGCCAGUUUCUAUCCGGAGCUGCACUAAGAAAGGGGGCUUUCUCUGCCUAUCCAACAUCAUAGUGUUAGUUUUAUGUCAAUCUUGCAGUUUCAUGUUUUCAAAUAUUCAGCGCUCUUAGAAGUGACUGUCCAACAGGGAUUUCAAGCGGCAGAAAUUUGGACCACCUGAAGGAUGAGACAGCACCAGCCUUGGGGGACGGACCAGAGGAACUCACCUCCUCAAACACACAUUUCAACAACUCCAACUGCCUUCUUAACAGAUCCACCUUCACCUCCAGCUCUUCCUUGUUCAAAAAGAUACAGUCUGCAUCCUGAAAGAGAUGAGACGCGUUCCAGACCAAGCUCGCUAAAAACACCGGAGAAACACACAGAAGACAGAUGCGGUGCCAAUAAAACAGAAACCUGUUUCAACAAGAUUUCAAGAGCAGAAAUGUGCGAGAGGCUGAGUCAAGAUGCCCUGGUGUCUUCUAAAGGAAAACAAACCCAUUAAAACAUGACUGAAAGGGAUUAGUUUAUUUAUUACAUAGGAUUUAGCUACAAACUCAGCAGUGACUAAUGAGUAUUUAAAUAUAAUUUUUAAGUAUUGUUCAGAUGGUUUCUCGCUUUCUGAUGUCCAGGUAUAAAGGAGCUGAAGAAGCUGUCAGGAGAUAACCAGUAUCUCAGACACCAAAUAUGCUGGUGUAACCUCUCCCACUGUGUCUAUUCCAGAUGGACCCUUGCGUGAAAAUGUGUUUGGGGGAACAAAACUACUGCUGCAAUGCUAAUGCUGUUAGCUUGGAGGACACAUUAUUUUUUUCUUUCCACUCCCAUCUUCCUCUUUUUCUGACCCUGUGCUUCUUUACAGCCCUCCCGCUUUCCACUCACUGUAACACAUUUUCCCAGGCACCUUCCAAUAAUGUACAUUUUCAGCCAGGCUUUACGCCAGAUAAACUCGUGGCAGGUGUAAUCAUCCAUCUGUUUGGAGCUUCUCACCUUUUUGAGUGUCACAAACUCAUUCUCUACAGCUGUACGUCUGUUGAUUUCCUCUUCAUAUCUGUUGGAAAAGGAGCAGGAAAGGGCUGAACCAAGCGUUACCAUCAGACACACAGGCACGAUUCAUCUGGAAAAAUAACGACCUUUGCUUGCUCAGAGACUGCCAUCAGGCACCGUAAGACCAGUGUCUGGAGACCAAGCAUCAGACUGUCCAAAGAUCAGAAGCUCGUUCACAAACAACAGUAUUAACAAUGCAAAGAGUUACCAAGUGAGAGAGAGGAAUCUGACAUCCCCAAAGGGGAUUUGCUGCAUGUCUGAGAGAAGUUCCCUGAGAUAAAAUAUAGACGUGAAAUGACAACAGCCACAGGAAACCUUAAAGCCCUUACUUGCACUUGAACUCCUCCACGAGCUGGCUCGUGGCACACUCUUCGCUGCCCAGCUUUUGCUUCUCGCAUAACAAGCAGUCCAGGCGCUUCCGUAGGUCACAGAUGUAACUCUCAAAGUAGAGUUCAAGGUUUUUCCCUUUCUUUGGUAGAACGUGUUGCUGCAAGAGGCCCCAUUUGGUCUCCAGCACUUUGUUCUGCUGCUCCAGGAAUCGGACCUGCAGACCAAAAAGUAGCAGUUGUUCGAAUAAAGAAAGAAAAUCCAUAACUCAAAACCUGAUUUAGCUGUCUGCUCUCACGUUGGAGUCAGAUAAAGUACAUCUUCCUGCAAGUGUAAGAAUAGGAUUUUUUGGAAAAUGAGAAGUGAUAUGCCAUAAUGAUCACAAAAUUGUCUGCCCUUAUUUAAAAUCCAGAAGUUAGAUGUCUAAAUCUGAGCUGACUCCCUUUCUCACCAAUGAAAAGAAAUAAAGCUCCUCCAGAAGGUGCCUAUGAUGUAUUCCAAGAUGAGAUUGAGUCCCCAGCUGAAGGGACCUGUUUGUCUCUUUUCUCUACAGGAUCCUAAGGUGGUGGCUCAGAUGUCUAACAUUUAGAUAGAAGAAUUACAGUUAAUCUCCUCCAUCUUUAGAAAUGUUUUUGGAACAGUUGCUAUAUUUAAAGAUGGGAAAAGCAAAUUGAAUAUAGGACAGAAAAAUGAGCUCAUCAGAAUUGUAACUUUUAGCUGAGAUAGAACAAGGCUGCAAGGAGAAAGCCAACCUUGAAUUCAGGCUGUCCAGAGAGAGGUAACUACAAGAAAGUUCAGUGCUCCUAUGGCCAGAAUACAGACACUAGCAAGUACUGAGUUUCUCCAGCACUGAAGAUCACAGCCUGAAGAAACAUGGCUCUGUGGGAAUCCAGAGCCUUGCAUGGAUCUAACGCAGUGAUGCCUGGCAUGAGCUGGACUACUUUUUUUUUUCUUUUUAUUCUCAGAAAAGUGCAAGUAGGGAACAGAUUGCACUCACCUUGUCAAUGAAGCAAGCAAACUGGGUGUUGAGGGUCUUUAUCUGUUCCUUCUCCUGACAGCGUAUUUCAUGUUCCAGCGGGUCGACCCCAACACAGAGGGGCUUUAGGAGCCUUUCGUCAAUGCAGAUACCUUGGAUACCAUCAGCCUUGCGAUCUGGGUAACCUCGCACGAUACUGUAUCCCCUAGGGCCACAGAGGCCAACCCUUCCUCCGACACUACCAUAGCCUACACCUCCGUAGCCGAAAUCCCCAUAGCAUCCAGUACUGCAGACCCCGUUCACGUGGGAAAUUCUUCUGUUUCCACCUAGGUUACAGACGCUCCUGCUGCUAUAGGCACCAGCUCCGCGUCGGACAGGUUGGCAGGCAGAGGCCGCAUAGCUUCGACCACAAAUCUCAGAAGCUGAGCUGAAGCCUCUUCGUCUGAGGACGGAUCUCGCUGCUCAUUUUGGGUGCGGAAACACAACCAAAAAAAGAAAAAAGAAAAAAAACAACUGUGGAAAAACACCGUGGAAGCUGUGCAGUGGCAGAUGGACCACUUGCGUGCCUGAGACACCAGUGAAUUUACUGAGUUACGGGUCGGGAUUCACAGGCAAGGACUCGAAACAGGCUCCCUCUCCCCCCAAAACACUCCCAUGCGACAUUUCACAUUGACCUUCUCUUACUACCAAGAAACUGAGGCACAUUUCAGCUUGCUGUUGUCACUUGAAUAAUAUUACAGAUUUUUAACCUCAAGUGCCUAUGUUGCACUUAAAUUUUGGCCCUUGCUAUAUUGGAGCUUCUACCCUGCUGGAUGUCAGAGAACUUCUUGCUUUAUCAUUUGGUAAUUGCUAGAGGUAACAAAAAUGGAGCAGUAGCACAUUUCAGGCUAGUGAAAUUCAUCUCAUUCAACAAGCAACACCUAAAGUUGGGUAGCUUUGCCAAACACAUCCUUGACAGUCAGUGGCGAGGCACCUUCAAGAGAGCCACAACCACCUUUGGGUCUGAGGCUAGGGGAACUGGGGUGAUUCAUUCUCUGUAGGUGGUGAUCUUUCUCCAUCAAUAGAGGAAGUCUCAAUGAGUAGGUUAGCCUGGGCACCUGAGGUGGUGACUCACAUUGGUAAGAUGAAGCUCUCUCCAAAGAGGUGAGACACUGAACCUCUCUGCCAGCUGUCUCGAGCGUUUCUGGGGGCGUUCUCCAAACUGACAACUGGAGAUUCAAAACAAUAGGACUCUCUGAGAGCAAAGUGCUCAUGAGAGAAGGAGCCAUUACAGUGCACACUCAACUAAAUGCCCUCAGCCCUUCCUGACUGAAGGGGAACUAUGCCCAGAGAAGGCUGCAUAUUAUGCAUUUUAUGUGACAGCGGACAGUAUCUGGAGACAACUGGUAACUGUGGUCACUCAUCCUUGUUAACCCCCUCCAAAAGCAUUUUCCAAGAGUGAGGAUCAGGCAGUGCAAAUCACAAAAAUAAUGCUAAACUUAGCGGGCCAUAGGACAUGAUUACCACACUGAGCUGCACCAGGCUAUUAAUUGAACAUGUAAUUGCAACAUAUGUGAGUUGGAGGGGCUGUUGGUACAAAUUAGUUGUGUUAACUGAUGCUCUGGCCCUAUACAAGUGGGAUAAUUCAACAUGUUUCAGAUUACACCUUUGUUGUUAAUAUUUUUGGCUCACAGUUCAUACUGGGUUGCCAGUACAAUUGGCAAUAUCAGUUAAAACAUACAUUUGGCAAAUAUUAGUGAUUUCAAGCUAAAGCUUGUAUAGUCAUAAGUUCCCAGAGCCUUUAAGUUCUGCAUAAAGAUUAUCAAAAGUGAAAUGCAUGUUUGACUCCAAAGAAACAGCACAAAAGGCAAUUGUUUCAGCUCUUUCACUCAGUGAGAAGUAAUACAUGCUGUACAUAGGAAAAUAGUGUCCUGAAUCAGUCAGACUGAAAGCUAGUGAGCCAUUGCUCCCUGUUUGCACCCCAUCAUACAUGUAGGCUGUGUGGGAGACUCUCGGAACAUAUCAUAGUCUACAAUUAAUAGGCUGUGAACCAACUACACAUCAGCAGUCCCAGUUCUAAAACAUCUCACCAGAGCCACUGGCUUCAUGAAUGGUAAGAGAUUUUUGCAGUAAGUUAUCCAGUGUUGAGUAACAUUUCUGUGUUUGCCAAACUCUUGAUGUUGCUAGUGAAUCCCAGUGUGAAGGCAGCUAUAAAGAAGGGUCAUUUAAUGUCUUUCAGGUCUUUCCAAGGGACAUUGAGUGUUUCAUUGUUCUAAGUAGAUGUUAGUACAUGAGAUCUCAGGAACCAACAGGAUUAUUUAUUAUUUUGAGAGUGGACAUGGAAAAUGGGAGAGUACUUUAAAGCAAAAAAUUACAUCUUUUUCACUCAAAAAAAAAGGGAUUCAUCAUCUUUCAUCUUUGGGGGGGGGGGGAACUGAGGAAGAAAUGAAGGAAAAUAUUUUGAUGAGGGGUUAAUGAAUCAUUUCUGUCCACUUGCAAUCUCUCCCUUUGUCAGCAUUCUUCUCCUUGAAUGUGUUGCUGAAAAUGGAAUUUGUUAUGAGAACAUGUGAAGUUCACUAAUCUGUUUACUGCCUCUGGAGAUGAAUCUAAACUAGCUGUUAAAAGUGUAUUUUAUGCGAUAGUCUCAAAGAAAGACCCAUGUAAUUAGACACAGACAUAGAAAACUCAUUUCAUUCAGAUAGGACAAUAGCAAUAACCUACCCCUGCGAACAGCAUUUAACAGCUAUAGGGUUGGGUGGCAAUAUGUGUUUUUUGCACACACAAUUUCAUGGACUAUAUAGACGCUUGUGUAUGAUGUCGUUCAUGUGGUGUUAAAGAUCAGAUUUGAUUAACACAUCCUCAUCCCCUUGUAUUCGAAAGCCAAGGUUGUCCAAAGAGAUUCAAUAUGGUAAUGUACUCUUUUUUCUCUCUUUAGCCUACAUCUGUUAUAUGGUAGAAGCAGAGACAGGGAUUUUCAAAGGAUAUUCCUCAUAAAAUUCAUCAAACACUGGGCCUGGAUUCACCUCCCUUCCCAACUUCAGCCAUCAAACUAGCUGUGUAUUCUAAUUUCAUCUUUGAGACUGCCUCUAUGGCUAAUGGAAAGAGUUAGAUAGCCAUCUCCAGACGGUGAUUCAUCACAUCCUAAAAUAGGCAGCUAAGACAGGUGGGAGGAAUCAACCUCUGGACGUACUUACUCUCUUUAUUGACUACCAGAGGCAGUCUAGACAACCAGACAGCUAGACCAGGCGCCCAACUUCUGGAUGGUUAAAGUUAGGUGAAAUUAGUCCCACCCUUUGGGUCCCAAAUUUCUUUAGCACAUUUGAAGUCUUAAUGAGAGUACACAACAUCACAUGCUCUCUAGAGUUCCUCAGUUCCUGAUGCAUGCAUAUCAUAUCUCUGUGCAGUGAUUAGUGCAUGUAAAUUUGAGGCUUGCAACAAAGCAAAAGGAUUGUUUUGAUCUUUUUCGUGAUGCUGUCUUCCUCCCACAGAAUUACACAGUGGAAAUAAAUGUGGGAAGUAUGGGAAUCCAGGGCCUUGAAUAGGAUAGCAUCACACUAUCUGUUAAAGCAAAGAAUUUAGAGAAGGGGGAAAAAGUUACUCUUGAAAUGUUGCCGCUGGUACUAGGCUAUGGCAGCUUCCCUGUAAAUCUACACUGCCUCUCAGCAUUUCUUGUUGGAGUUAUAUUCUUGGGCAGAAAAGUUUCCCUGAGCCAUAGAGAGGGAAGGAAUUGCCCAUGGAAGUUGGGUAGGAUCCUUCUGGGAAGCAUAUUCAGCUGGUGCCCAAGCCCAUGUUUGACUGGAUUUGUGUAGCUUUGUGACGUACUGAUGAAUUUCUGAUGAAAUGCCCAGCUGAUUUAUGAAGUACUGAUGUUCACAGAGGCUGGUCACAGGUUUAAAGGAAAACACUUGUUAAAUUAACUUAUCAGAUCAGGGUCUUGAACUGGGGGGGGGGGGG
This is a long non-coding RNA of Dromaius novaehollandiae (emu), 19683 nucleotides long. RefSeq lists it as uncharacterized. The transcript has 13 exons. The record is from RefSeq and is a predicted model, not a curated record. Lineage: Eukaryota; Metazoa; Chordata; Aves; Casuariiformes; Dromaiidae.